This 483-nucleotide ribosomal RNA is filed under the name Salmonella enterica. RNAcentral describes it as "partial 23S ribosomal RNA". It matches the Rfam family "Bacterial large subunit ribosomal RNA", at positions 1 to 523 of the family's 2925-position model. The record is from RNAcentral. Lineage: Bacteria; Pseudomonadati; Pseudomonadota; Gammaproteobacteria; Enterobacterales; Enterobacteriaceae.
GGUUAAGCGACUAAGCGUACACGGUGGAUGCCCUGGCAGUCAGAGGCGAUGAAGGACGUGCUAAUCUGCGAUAAGCGCCGGUAAGGUGAUAUGAACCGUUAUAACCGGCGAUUUCCGAAUGGGGAAACCCAGUGUGACUCGUCACACUAUCAUUAACUGAAUCCAUAGGUUAAUGAGGCGAACCGGGGGAACUGAAACAUCUAAGUACCCCGAGGAAAAGAAAUCAACCGAGAUUCCCCCAGUAGCGGCGAGCGAACGGGGAGGAGCCCAGAGCCUGAAUCAGCAUGUGUGUUAGUGGAAGCGUCUGGAAAGGCGCGCGAUACAGGGUGACAGCCCCGUACACAAAAGCGCAUGUGCUGUGAGCUCGAUGAGUAGGGCGGGACACGUGGUAUCCUGUCUGAAUAUGGGGGGACCAUCCUCCAAGGCUAAAUACUCCUGACUGACCGAUAGUGAACCAGUACCGUGAGGGAAAGGCGAAAAGAA